This 254-nucleotide ribosomal RNA is filed under the name uncultured bacterium. RNAcentral describes it as "partial 16S ribosomal RNA". It matches the Rfam family "Bacterial small subunit ribosomal RNA", at positions 524 to 776 of the family's 1533-position model. The record is from RNAcentral.
UACGUAGGGUGCGAGCGUUAAUCGGAAUUACUGGGCGUAAAGCGUGUGCAGGCGGUCUGUUAAGACCGAUGUGAAAUCCCCGGGCUUAACCUGGGAACUGCAUUGGUGACUGGCAGGCUUUGAGUGUGGCAGAGGGAGGUAGAAUUCCACGUGUAGCAGUGAAAUGCGUAGAGAUGUGGAGGAAUACCGAUGGCGAAGGCAGCCUCCUGGGCCAACACUGACGCUCAUGCACGAAAGCGUGGGGAGCAAACAGG